GCGGGGAUGGUGAAAUUGGUAGACACGCCAGAUUUAGGUUCUGGUGCCGAGAGGCUUGGGGGUUCGAGUCCCCCUUCCCGCA
This 82-nucleotide transfer RNA is filed under the name SAR324 cluster bacterium. RNAcentral describes it as "tRNA-Leu". It matches the Rfam family "tRNA". From Rfam's summary of the family: Transfer RNA (tRNA) molecules are approximately 80 nucleotides in length. Their secondary structure includes four short double-helical elements and three loops (D, anti-codon, and T loops). The record is from RNAcentral. Lineage: Bacteria; Deltaproteobacteria.